UACAGAGGUCCCAAGCGUUGUUCGGAUUCACUGGGCGUAAAGGGUGCGCAGGUGGGUUUGCAAGUUCGAUGUGAAAGCCCCGGGCUUAACCCGGGAAUGGCAUUGGAUACUGCAGAUCUGGAGGAUCGGAGGGGGGACUGGAAUUCUUGGUGUAGCAGUGAAAUGCGUAGAUAUCAAGAGGAACACCAGUGGCGAAGGCGAGUCCCUGGACAACACCUGACACUGAGGCACGAAAGCUAGGGGAGCAAACAGG
This 253-nucleotide ribosomal RNA is filed under the name uncultured bacterium. RNAcentral's name for it is "partial 16S ribosomal RNA". It matches the Rfam family "Bacterial small subunit ribosomal RNA", at positions 524 to 776 of the family's 1533-position model. The record is from RNAcentral.